Molecule: long non-coding RNA, 1071 nt
Organism: Rosa rugosa (rugosa rose)
Lineage: Eukaryota; Viridiplantae; Streptophyta; Magnoliopsida; Rosales; Rosaceae
Exons: 5
Source: RefSeq, a predicted model, not a curated record
GGAUUUAGUUUGGAACACUUUAUGACAUUCUCUCCCCGACUUUACGAAAACUAAAACCUAAACCGCGGCUCAGCUGAAACCAUUCCAACUUCAAUUUCUUGCUCCGUCCAUUCCAACUGAUGAAAAUCCAAAUCGAAACACCCUAAUCAGAACCCAGAUCGAAACACCCUAAUCAGAACCUCAUACUCCGUCCAUUCCCCAUCUCUCUUCGACAGACGAAGAAAUCCUCAUUCCACAUCUGGGUCUUUGUUUCAAACCUAAAUCGCGAAAUCAUCCAAACCUCUUUGCAAAUUUCAUGGGUCUCAAUCAGUAGCUCUUUAUCUAUCACUACUACAGUAGGUCGUCAUCUUUUCCAUAGUCUUCUUCCGCUGCUCUUAAGUGGAUUUGCUAUUUCCAAGCCUCUGAGUUAUUGCCACUUUGAGUACGCAAAGUUCUGGUAAGAGAUGACUUGAUUGUUGAGAACUGGUGACCAAGCUUGGAAAAAUGAAGUAGUUUGUGAGAUCAAUUUUGAACUUGCAUCUUGUGAUCAAGAUGAUUGUGAGGUUGUGAGGAAAGUAGGGGGAGGAAAAUACAACAAGGUCUUUGAAGGUAUUAAUCUCAAUACCAAUGAGCGAUGCAUAAUCAAAAUCCUCAAGCCUGUGAAGAAGAAGAAGAUUAAGAGGGAGAUUAAGACAUUUGAACACAGAGGCAUGUUCUUGGAAGACAUUUGUUUGGAUUCUUGAAAUGAGUUACCUGUUGCUUUUGUUACAUUCAAGUCUCGGUUGGGUGCAGCAUUAGUCUCCCAAUCUCAGCAGCAUACAGAUCCACUUCUUUGGAUAACUGACAUGGCUCCAGAACCGAGGGAUGUAUCUUGGAGAAAUCUGGUGAUACCAUACAGAGUUUUGCCACUUUGCAGGCUAGGUGUCAUUGUUGCAGCCUCUCUUCUUACAAUUUUCUUUGCAAUCCCAGUCACUGCUGUCCAAGGUAUAGCCAAGUUUGAGAAACUGAAAAAAUGGUUUCCUCCAGCCAUGGCUUUACAGUUGAUGUAAGACUUAUCUUGAUUAUAAAACUAGAACUUUGAUACAUCAAACU